GCACCGUUGGCCGAGUGGUUUAGGCACUAGUCUUCCAAACUAGAUAUGUGAGUUCAAUUCUCACACGGUGCUCCA
This 75-nucleotide transfer RNA is filed under the name Candidatus Babelota bacterium. RNAcentral describes it as "Candidatus Dependentiae bacterium tRNA-Gly". It matches the Rfam family "tRNA". Rfam says of the family: Transfer RNA (tRNA) molecules are approximately 80 nucleotides in length. Their secondary structure includes four short double-helical elements and three loops (D, anti-codon, and T loops). Further hydrogen bonds mediate the characteristic L-shaped molecular structure. tRNAs have two regions of fundamental functional importance: the anti-codon, which is responsible for specific mRNA codon recognition, and the 3' end, to which the tRNAs corresponding amino acid is attached (by aminoacyl-tRNA synthetases). tRNAs cope with the degeneracy of the genetic code in two manners: having more than one tRNA (with a specific anti-codon) for a particular amino acid; and 'wobble' base-pairing, i.e. permitting non-standard base-pairing at the 3rd anti-codon position. The record is from RNAcentral.